CUGGUGUAUAAGUUGCGGUGAUUGCAUACCAUCAGAAUCGUCGGUGCAACAUAAGUGAAUUCAAGUCGCGUGCUAGUCCCGAUGGCGCAUGUCCUUGCGAGGUGCGCGGACGCCGAAACGAUGCCAACAUGGGGUCACCACUAGUCCUUAUAUAUUAGCAGGAUAAGCCACAGCAGUCAGUGUUCAACGGACAAUCAAAACAAGCAAAAUGUUCAAGUUUUUGGUAUACCUCGCUCUCCUGGCUUUCGCCUGCGCUAAGCCUCUUGUGUACACUGCACCCAUCGCCGCCGCAUACACUGCUCCGGUCGCAGCAGCGUACACAGCUCCUGUGGCGUACCCUGCCUACAGCGCUUAUUCACCAUUCGCAUACUCCGCCUACACUUACGCUGCGCCUUAUACGUACUACGUUUAAUGUUCUGCUUAUAAUGACGACCGAUAAAACUUGUUAAAAAUUAUGUUAACGGCAGCAACCGACUUAUUUAUUGUUUAAAAUCUAUGAUUUCAAUAAAUAAAAAAAUUUACCUGAUUUUUUUUUAUUUACUAAUAUUUUCUUUAGUCUAUUCAGAUUUCUAAAACACUUAUUCAUCAAAUCAUCAUUUUAUCCAUAACAUUUUCGAAAUAGUAUAUAAAACAUAAACUAACAUAUGAUAUUAAUAUUAUUAAAAUUAAGCAAGUAAUAAAAUAUUAUUAAAAAAAAUUAAAACCUCGGAUCAAACCAUUUUCACGGUAGUCGUAAAGUCGUUUGUAUACAUUUUUAAAAAUAAUAUUAUUUUGUUGCGAUUUGUUAUUUCAAAUACCUCUUAAA
RNAcentral lists this unclassified non-coding RNA (805 nucleotides) under Melitaea cinxia (Glanville fritillary). Its description in RNAcentral is "misc RNA ENSMCXG00005000727.1". The record is from RNAcentral. Lineage: Eukaryota; Metazoa; Arthropoda; Insecta; Lepidoptera; Nymphalidae.